This is an RNA transcript of Amaranthus tricolor (Joseph's coat), 1896 nucleotides long. RefSeq lists it as uncharacterized. The record is from RefSeq and is a predicted model, not a curated record. The transcript is spliced from 3 exons. NCBI's taxonomy places the organism in Eukaryota, Viridiplantae, Streptophyta, Magnoliopsida, Caryophyllales, Amaranthaceae.
UCACAUUUUGGCCUUAACAUUACAAGUAUUCAUCUUCUCCUCAAAAACCCCUCCUCCUUCUUCUAUUUCCUUGUGAUUCUCUGUAAUCUUGGGGUAGUAAUGCAAUGUUCGAUUCCUGUGAAGCCUUGAAACAACUUCCUCCCUCUCCUUGCGACAGAACCGGGCAGCCAUCAAACCCCACCUUCUUCCUCUUCUUCCAUCUAUUAUUCAUCUUCUUCAUUUGCCCCUUUUUCCCAAAACCCUUACAUUUUCGAAAACCCCAAUCAUCUUUCCUUUCAUUCUUGAUUUCGAAGCAAAUUAGCAACCAAAAACAUCAUCUCAUUCUGUCUCGGUUUUGAAUUGUAGUUAAACCCAUUUUCUCUCAUCUUUUCUGAAUUUCGAGAGUGCUUUUGGCAAAUACAAGAACCAUUAUCUAAUUUCUUGGGUUGAUUUCUUUGGUGUACGACUAUGUCAGUGAAGGUGCAAGUUGAGGCAACAUCUCAAGGCUAAAUUCUUGCAGUCUCUCUUUCUGGAAAAUUUCGAAAGAACCAAAUAUUAACAUUUCCUUCAGUUUCCUAUGAUUUCUCAAGGUGUCACUGGUUUCGAAGUGGAAACGAUUUCUCUGCGCGCUCUUUCUAGUUGAUAGCUGCAAAUCGAUCACGGCUCUUUGAAGCGUCUUGUUGUUUGAUUACAGAUCAGAACCGGUCAGGAACGAUGGGUUAGCGGUGUUGGAUAGCGUUCCAAGGAUGUAUAUUGUGCUGAGCACGUAGGAAUUUGUAGAUUUGUAUUAGGAUUUUGGAUAAAUGUAUAUUAGAUUUGGUUGUGUUGGUUAUAUUCGACUUGUAGAGUAUUGUAUGAUUGUCUUGUGUUUUAGUUAGAUGUUUGUUUUGAAAUUUAGCUGAGUUGUUCACGUUAAAGAGCUGGUGACCCCUUUGCUCAAGUUUUGGAAGUAUGAUUUCAAUUUCUUGGGAAAUGAACCCUGUGAUGAUCCUGUUUACUCAGUCAACGGUAAGUCGGGUUGUUACAUUAUUGGCCUUUAGUGAAGAACAAGGAUUACCUGGCAUGAUUGGUAGUGUUGAUUGCAUGCAUUGGGAGUGGAAGAAUUGCCCAGCAGCAUGGAAAGGGCAAUAUCACGGCCGAGCUGGUGUUACAACAUUAAUUCUUGAAGCUGUCGCUGAUCAUGACUUAUGGAUAUGGCAUGCCUUUUUUGGGAUGCCAGGUUCAUAUAAUGAUCUCAACGUGCUACAUCGAUCACCUCUUUUAGUUGAUUUGUUUGAAGGAAGGGCACCACCUGUCAAUUUAACGGUGGAUGGAAAUCAAUACGGCAUGGCUUACUAUCUCACUGAUGGCAUUUAUCCUAAAUGGGCUACUUUUAUUCAGUCUAUUACUGAACCGUAAACAGCAAAAGCAAGGUUAUUUGCCCAACAUCAAGAACUAGCAGGAAAGGAUGUGGAGCGAGCAUUUGGGGUGUUGCAAGCUCGAUUUGCAAUAAUUAGAAAGCCCACACUUGUUUGGGAUGAAGAACGACUCUGAUAUAAUUACUUCUUGUGCAAUUAUGCAUAAUAUGAUAGUGAAAGAUGAAAGAGAUACAUAUACACACUAUGUUGAUGGUAGAGAGUUCAUGGGAGAUCGCCCGAAAGGUCAAUCGGAAGGUACAAGUGGAUUAAAUGAUGACUUUGAGUUUUACACAGAUAGAAUUGUUGAUAUCAACCGAUACUUGGCAAAUAAGGAUGAUGUUGAAGAUCGACAAACACAUUUAUCCUUAAAAGAUGACUUGAUUGAAAAUAUCUGGCAAAAGUUUGGAGAGAAUCGCAAUUAAUGUAUCAUUUAAAAUUUUAGUUUUUUAAUUUGUGUAUUUAUUUUAUCUAUGCGCAUUGUAAUCUUUAUUUGAAGUUAACGAAUUUUCCUUAAUUAUUA